AGUCUUUGAGUGUGGUGGAGGCCAGGCAAGACAGCAGGCAUCCAGGCCAGGACCCAGCCUUAGGUUACACUUUGCAGGGAACGUCCAGAGGAACUUUAAGGGGUGCUGGACUCCGGCGGGCCUUCCCUGGGGAAUGGCCCUAAGAGAGCCACUAGAGCCGCUGACUUUCCUGGUCUCCAUAAAGCAGGGGCCCCUCUUCCUGCUGCAGUGGCCCUGCUCACCCAUGUGAGGAUGCACCAUGGUGCUAGGGUGUCUCAAGACUGGGCGACAGGUGAAUGGAGGAAAGAGAAGAGCGAAUCUUGUGAUCCACUGGGUGUGCGGUGUGACAGUGACAGGGACUGGGAACCUGGGAGCUUCUCAGCAUCUCCUUUUCACACUCUGCCUCUGAGCAGCUGGGAAUCCUUACCCCUCCAAUCUCCUGACUGCUCAUCUCCCUGGAGCCAGGACCCUGAAUCAGUAUUCACGGCCUGUUAGUGGCUUGCAAGGCAGAGCAGACAGAUGGACGUGCUCGGGAAGCCUAUUGAUCAGCCCUUGGUGUGACCUGCCCAGACCUGGUUCUGUUUCAAGCACUGAUCACGUGGACAAGGAGUCCUUAAUUCCUCUCAGCACCAUUUGAGAUGAGCAACUACACAAGACAAAGACGAAAGGCUUUUUCAGCUCAAAAAUCCUGUGAUUCUUUGAUUCUAAGAAGAGAUUUUCUUACAAGGAGUUUGCCUAAGUGUCCACACGGCUUGUGUCUCCUCCCAGCAGCCGGCCUGCUGGUGUGUGUGCUGUGUGUGGAGAGUGGCCUUAGGCCUGUGUUGUGAGUGAUGUCUGCAGAGCAUGGGGUUGAUUUGGAAGAAGGUGUGAUCCGAAGUUGUGUUUGACCUGAGCUCCUGUCACCCCUGAAGGCAGCAGAGGAUCUCCUGUCAGUGACCCAGGAGGACAGCUUUCUGAAGGACAUUCUGCCCAUUGCACAGAGGGGCUUUUGUGAUUGGUUUGCCCAGAUGUGACUUUUUCCCCUACCUUUGAAGGCCUAGAUUGGGUUUCCCAUUUCUUGGCCCUUUGGAAAGGCCAAUGGCUCCCUGUCUGACAGGCUGCCCUGAGCAGCAGGUGCUCCAUUUAGACCCAGGCUGCCCCAAUCCCAGCUCUGAUCUGACUCUCAGCUCUGAGGCUCCAUUGAGUCCCUGGGCCUCAGGGACCCUGUUCAGGCUUUGCUGAUGGUGGCAUCAAGUGACCUCCGAGCCACCUCCACGUUGGCUCAGACUGAGGAAACUGGUGAUCUUGUCUUGCUGUUUGCAAUACUUGAAGACAAAAACAGAACUUGUGCUGCAUUCUCAAGAAAGAAGAGACAACUGUUCCUGUACCUCACUCUUGUAGAUAUCUGUAUGAAGAAGCAGUGAUGGGUGCAUGCAAGCUAGGGAGCAUCAAGGCUCCCACUGCGUGGGCGCCAGCUGACCCCUGACCUCGUUUUCAUCUGUUGCUCUGGUCAUGGCUCUGAGAUCUGGGCAACCUGAGCCAGCUUGUGCAUUCCUUACCCUUGUGCUUUUGCACUAUCCAUCCCUGUCCCCUAGAACUCCCUCCAGUACAGUCUGCUCCACCCCAUCCCAUCCCAUCCCAUCCCAUGCCAUCCCAUCCCCUCACCUCACUCCAUCCUACCCCAUCCUACCACAUCCCACCCCAUCCCAUUCCAUCCCAGCCCACACCACCCC
RNAcentral lists this long non-coding RNA (1691 nucleotides) under Homo sapiens (human). RNAcentral's name for it is "HSALNT0300269". The record is from RNAcentral. Lineage: Eukaryota; Metazoa; Chordata; Mammalia; Primates; Hominidae.